UAUUUGGAUGCAGUACUGUUCUCACUCAGAUCGAAAGUCCACACCUCCACCAAACACACCCCUUUCAUGUUGAUGUAUGGAAGGGAGGCAGUAUUCCCCUCAGAGGUUCCUGUGGAUGUGCCGUCUGAGGCACAAAAGAAGAUGGAGCGAAAC
Thalassophryne amazonica is the source of this 153-nucleotide long non-coding RNA. RefSeq lists it as uncharacterized. NCBI's taxonomy places the organism in Eukaryota, Metazoa, Chordata, Actinopteri, Batrachoidiformes, Batrachoididae. The record is from RefSeq and is a predicted model, not a curated record. The transcript has 5 exons.